RNAcentral lists this long non-coding RNA (275 nucleotides) under Nicotiana benthamiana. Its description in RNAcentral is "long non-coding RNA (NBEN_LNC023282)". The record is from RNAcentral. Lineage: Eukaryota; Viridiplantae; Streptophyta; Magnoliopsida; Solanales; Solanaceae.
UACUGCAUAUCCAUUCCAGUUCACUGUCCCAGUCAAGGAUCUGUCUCGAACUGCCCAGCCAACAACAAAUUCUAGACCAUAAACUCUUAGUAACGCAACAUUCGAAAUAUAGGUGCUGGAAGGUUUCCACCUGUUGGUUGCAAAACACACACAGCGAAGGAUUUGAAUACCAUAGUUGGCUAAUCUAUCCAUAGUAGGUAACCUUCUUUGGGCAGCCAGCCAAGCAAUAAAUUUAUGUCGAGGCAGGACAUUUGUAACUAAAAGUAAAUUCCUCC